RNAcentral lists this long non-coding RNA (238 nucleotides) under Homo sapiens (human). Its description in RNAcentral is "LNC_000250". The record is from RNAcentral. Lineage: Eukaryota; Metazoa; Chordata; Mammalia; Primates; Hominidae.
GUUCCAAAGUGCUAGAUAGCCAUCAGAAAAACCUACAGCAAGCUGAUUUGUCCUGCUUAUGUAACUAAGAGUUGAAACAGCUGUUCCUGUUGGACUUACUAACUGGAAACACAGAUGGCGCCCUUGUCUCAUUACACUUUCUCUAAUGUGUGGUACUUCAGCUGGGAUACCAGUUAGAACUUCAAGAUCUGAUGCUUCAACUUCAUUUUGAUUGCAUGACAAGUCAUCCAAACAUAGG